This 225-nucleotide ribosomal RNA is filed under the name Triticum aestivum (bread wheat). RNAcentral describes it as "partial small subunit ribosomal RNA". Lineage: Eukaryota; Viridiplantae; Streptophyta; Magnoliopsida; Poales; Poaceae. The record is from RNAcentral.
AUGGCAUGUUGCAUCAUCUUGAAUAACAUGAUGAUUGAAGAUGAGAGAGGCAUCCCACAAGACUUUUGGUACAUCUCCAAUGUGGAUCCUGUUGAGCCAGAGAAUGAUGCAAACAGGAUAACGAUAUUCAUCACAACACAUCGAAGCAUCGAGAAUCGAGAAGUUCACACCCAGCUUCAAGAUGAUCUUGCUGAGCAUCAGCAGCAACUCCAUAGCACUUCAUAG